RNAcentral lists this ribosomal RNA (207 nucleotides) under uncultured bacterium. RNAcentral's name for it is "partial 16S ribosomal RNA". It matches the Rfam family "Bacterial small subunit ribosomal RNA", at positions 568 to 774 of the family's 1533-position model. The record is from RNAcentral.
CACGUAGGUGGGCACUUAAGUCAGAUGUGAAAUCCCCGGGCUUAACCUGGGAAUUGCAUUUGAUACUGGGCGUCUAGAAUAUAGUAGAGGGAAGUGGAAUUUCCGGUGUAGCGGUGAAAUGCGUAGAUAUCGGAAGGAACAUCAGUGGCGAAAGCGGCUUCCUGGACUAAUAUUGACACUUAGGUGCGAAAGCGUGGGGAGCAAACA